Molecule: small nucleolar RNA, 64 nt
Filed under: Drosophila ananassae
Lineage: Eukaryota; Metazoa; Arthropoda; Insecta; Diptera; Drosophilidae
Description: snoRNA:GF26102
Source: RNAcentral
UUUUAUGAUGUUUUUACAUACCGCCCCAGUCGGAGAAAUUAUGUCGAUUGGUUACAACUUCUGA